This 457-nucleotide ribosomal RNA is filed under the name uncultured bacterium. RNAcentral describes it as "bacterial SSU rRNA". It matches the Rfam family "Bacterial small subunit ribosomal RNA", at positions 340 to 786 of the family's 1533-position model. The record is from RNAcentral.
UACGGAAGGCAGCAGUGGGGAAUAUUGCACAAUGGGCGAAAGCCUGAUGCAGCUAUGCCGCGUGUAUGAAGAAGGCCUUAGGGUUGUAAAGUACUUUCAUCGGGGAGGAAAAAACAAAACUAAUAAUUUUAUUUCUUGACGUUACCCGAAAAAGAAGCACCGGCUAACUCCGUGCCAGCAGCCGCGGUAAUACGGAGGGUGCUAGCGUUAAUCAGAAUUACUGGGCGUAAAGAGCACGUAGGUGGUUUUUUUAAGUCAGAUGUGAAAUCCCUGGGCUUAACCUAGGAACUGCAUUUUGAAACUGAAAUACUAGAGUAUCGUAGAGGGAGGUAGAAUUCUAGGUGUAGCGGUGAAAUGCGUAGAUAUCUGGAGGAAUACCUGUGGCGAAAGCGGCCUCCUAAACGAAUACUGACACUGAGGUGCGAAAGCGUUGGGGAGCAAACGAGGAUUAGAUACC